AAAAUUUAAUCAAUUAUAACAAUUAAAAUUUCAUGGAGAUAUUUCUAGUCUAGUUUGAAACUAUUUGAAGAUUGUUUCGACUAUCUACAUUGAUGAUUGAUGAUAAAAAAGUAUUCCACUUUAUUCAAAGGUGAUACAACAAUUUCUAUGAAAUAUUUCGAAACUAUGUCAGCAGGAAAAUACAAAGUAGCGUAAUAGCUUGCUCUGGAGCCACAUGGUCUAGCAUAUAGCGGUUCAAGAUCAGCAAUUGUUGCAUAACUACCAGAGUUAGCACUUCCUGGUCUCUGGUCAACCCUCACGAGUACUGAACUUCCUGUAAGACCACCAGUACCAGCUGCUGAAUAACUACAAUAUGUUCCAGUGAGGAUAAGUUGAUGAGAUUUUUGAUGCUCCGUGUACUAUCUGGGUGAAAAACUGAGUACUUAACAGAGGUAAGCCACUCUUAGUUCAAUUCCAACCCUCUUUGAAAGAAGGAAGGAAAUAAUCGUGAGUUACUCUGGCAAAUUAUCUUACGAGAGCCUUCAGGCCAAGCUUCUUCCGCUGAAAAUUAUUAUCAUUUUUUAAAUUUACUUCAAUAUUAAAUCAACUUUUAUAUAAACAUAAAAAAAUAUACAGCUUUUUAAAAAAACCCAACUAGACGUUUGAAUGAAUUAAAUAUAUUAUUAUAUUUUGAAUUCAAAUUUAAAUUAAAAUCCAAUUAUUUAUGCUUCUAAUGAGUCGCUUCAAUACAAACUAGACGUGUGAGUAUAAAAUUAAAAUAAAACUUCAUGUAGCGUGUGAAUGAAAUACAAUGAAUCUUUUAAUUUAACCCCUUGUUGACAGAAAAAAAA
Long non-coding RNA from Aphidius gifuensis, 830 nucleotides. RefSeq lists it as uncharacterized. NCBI's taxonomy places the organism in Eukaryota, Metazoa, Arthropoda, Insecta, Hymenoptera, Braconidae. The record is from RefSeq and is a predicted model, not a curated record. The transcript has 3 exons.